UUAUUGGAGAGUUUGAUCCUGGCUCAGGACGAACGCUGGCGGCGUGCCUAAUACAUGCAAGUCGAGCGGACUUGAGGGAGCUUGCUCCCAAUGGUCAGCGGCGGACGGGUGAGUAACACGUGGGCAACCUGCCUGUAAGACUGGGAUAACUCCGGGAAACCGGGGCUAAUACCGGAUAAUUCAUUCCCUCACAUGAGGGAAUGCUGAAAGACGGCUUUUGCUGUCACUUACAGAUGGGCCCGCGGCGCAUUAGCUAGUUGGUGAGGUAACGGCUCACCAAGGCCACGAUGCGUAGCCGACCUGAGAGGGUGAUCGGCCACACUGGGACUGAGACACGGCCCAGACUCCUACGGGAGGCAGCAGUAGGGAAUCUUCCGCAAUGGACGAAAGUCUGACGGAGCAACGCCGCGUGAGCGAAGAAGGCCUUCGGGUCGUAAAGCUCUGUUGUCAGGGAAGAACAAGUACCGGAGUAACUGCCGGUACCUUGACGGUACCUGACCAGAAAGCCACGGCUAACUACGUGCCAGCAGCCGCGGUAAUACGUAG
Molecule: non-coding RNA, 546 nt
Filed under: Mesobacillus campisalis
Lineage: Bacteria; Bacillati; Bacillota; Bacilli; Caryophanales; Bacillaceae
Description: Bacillus campisalis Bacterial small subunit ribosomal RNA
Rfam family: Bacterial small subunit ribosomal RNA
Source: Rfam by way of RNAcentral